AAGAACCGGUAUUGUAUAAGGCAAGAAAAAUCAGUACAUGACUAAUAAAGAAAGAAUCAGUGUUCAGUAAGCAUAGGGUAGUAAAUUAGGACUAAGUUCAAAAAACUCCAACUAAGGAAAUGACGCAGACACUCAGUAAGAUAAAGUACCACAGCAAAUAAUGUAAUGGAAUCAGUCAAUUUAAACAGACAAGGGAGCAUUUUAGAGUUUUAAAAGAAAAUCUUUCGAUCAAACCAUCAAAUAAGGAAACCAGAAUCAAUCAAGAG
This 266-nucleotide long non-coding RNA is filed under the name Nicotiana benthamiana. RNAcentral describes it as "long non-coding RNA (NBEN_LNC022207)". Lineage: Eukaryota; Viridiplantae; Streptophyta; Magnoliopsida; Solanales; Solanaceae. The record is from RNAcentral.